Non-coding RNA from Cyanistes caeruleus (blue tit), 248 nucleotides. The record is from RefSeq and is a predicted model, not a curated record. Lineage: Eukaryota; Metazoa; Chordata; Aves; Passeriformes; Paridae.
GGAUUUUGGGGUGUGCAGGGCACACAAUGACCCCUCCUCUAUUUCCAUUCCAGGAUUCAAUCCCGUUCUGCCCCCGGGGGUCCCAGAUGGGGUGAGCCCCUUCCCCCAUGGGACAGAGCCGGGGGUCCCGAGGCCAGCUUGUGACUUUGGGGGGCACGAGGUGACUUCAACCUAGGACACACCUGAAGCCAGGUGCCGCAGGUGUCGGGGGGCUCAGGUGAGUCCGGCGCUUUUGGGGGGGCUUUUUU